Molecule: unclassified non-coding RNA, 281 nt
Filed under: Hevea brasiliensis (rubber tree)
Lineage: Eukaryota; Viridiplantae; Streptophyta; Magnoliopsida; Malpighiales; Euphorbiaceae
Source: RNAcentral
AAGAUCUGAAAAAUCAUGAGGUGGACUCUGGUGCACUGUAGUUAAAAUUGGCAGUAGUUUUUAUUGUAGAAAUCACUCAUAUUGUUUUACACUUUCCAUCUCAAAAUUCUUUGGAAAAUUUUAAUUAUUAGUGAGACAAGCAUAGAUGGGUACCAAAGUAGGUUUUUAACUUCUUGUUGUAGUCAUUAAAGCUGCAACACACAUUAAGGCACAAAGAUAUCUUAGAGCCUAGGUGCUAAGUGCAAGGAUGUGCCUGUAGAGGUGAGGAACAAAAGAAAAAG